AUUUAAGCGAAAGAGAAACAGGAAGGGCCCUCUUUUUCCUUCGGUUCCUGCUCCAGCGGCACGAUGUGAUCCACCAGCUAGGAGGGACGCCAAUAAGAGUUUUAACGUUCCCAGUAGAUGUCACCUUUAAUGGCAUCUCUGAAAACCCUUAGUACUUGUCUCUACCAUUCUUGACUGUGAGAAGCUUGAUUGACAGACAAUGUCAAAGGGAUAGACAAUGUCAUAGACUGUGAUGAGAACCUGUCUGCACAGCUAUCCUGAAACCACAUACUGAGCAGCAAAUUGAACACCCCUCUAUUUCUAUUGGUGAUAGAAGUCCAGUCUCCCUAUUAUGGUCUCUAUUGGUCUGCUUUGGGGUUUCAUGACACUGGAGAAGAUAAAAGUCUGCGACCAUUGUCACUUGACAUGACACCAUCACAUCAUGAAGACCUAGUAAACUCAAUGGACUGUCCCUCCAAUCGCUAAGUUUUCUCAUCUGGAACAUAUAUCUGGGAGAGGAACAAACAAGAGGAGAAUCUGAUUGUGAUCAGCUUCAGAAUCCCUUUGGAGAAAAGCUGUUCCUGUCUGUCAAUGGACUCUUCUCGUGGGAAACACUAGAGCAGCUGCAGCUUAAACAAAAGAACAACAUUUGGUGCCCUGGACGUGGGAAGGCUCUGCCCUUGGUACCCCCCUCCACAUCCCGCUGGCGGGUACGUGUUGGGUCAAGGACAUCCUUAUCACGCGAAUAAACAAUCCACAUUCCAGAUCACCGGUUUGCUGGAUUCUGCAUACAACACCGGACCCAAUUCGGUAAGGCUACCCCUUUCAGUCAGCGUAAACGUCUCCCUGAACCCGAGGGACUGACCGUUGAUCGUC
RNAcentral lists this long non-coding RNA (855 nucleotides) under Cricetulus griseus (Chinese hamster). RNAcentral's name for it is "lncRNA (ENSCGRG00000024804.1)". The record is from RNAcentral. Lineage: Eukaryota; Metazoa; Chordata; Mammalia; Rodentia; Cricetidae.